Molecule: ribosomal RNA, 253 nt
Filed under: uncultured bacterium
Lineage: Bacteria
Description: partial 16S ribosomal RNA
Rfam family: Bacterial small subunit ribosomal RNA
Source: RNAcentral
UACGGGGGGGGCAAGCGUUGUUCGGAAUUACUGGGCGUAAAGGGCGCGUAGGCGGCCUGCUAAGUCGGAUGUGAAAUCCCUCGGCUCAACCGAGGAACUGCAUCCGAUACUGGCGGGCUUGAAUCCGGGAGAGGGAUGUGGAAUUCCAGGUGUAGCGGUGAAAUGCGUAGAUAUCUGGAGGAACACCGGUGGCGAAGGCGAGUCUCUGGACAUUUCCUGACGCUGAGGCACGAAAGCCAGGGGAGCAAACGGG